GCCUGGGUGGCUCUGUCGGUUGAGCAUCUGACUUCAGCUCAGGUCAUGGUCUCACACUUCGUGAGUUCGAGCCCCACUUCGGGCU
Molecule: transfer RNA, 85 nt
Organism: Felis catus (domestic cat)
Lineage: Eukaryota; Metazoa; Chordata; Mammalia; Carnivora; Felidae
Rfam family: tRNA
About the family: Transfer RNA (tRNA) molecules are approximately 80 nucleotides in length. Their secondary structure includes four short double-helical elements and three loops (D, anti-codon, and T loops).
Source: Rfam